Molecule: ribosomal RNA, 550 nt
Filed under: uncultured Chlorophyta
Lineage: Eukaryota; Viridiplantae; Chlorophyta
Description: SSU rRNA
Rfam family: Eukaryotic small subunit ribosomal RNA
Source: RNAcentral
UAGCGUAUAUUUAAGUUGUCGCAGUUAAAAAGCUCGUAGUUGGAUUUUGGUUAAGAGGGCGCGGUCGGCCGUUUGGUCUGUACUGCGUUGUCUUGACUUCCUGAUGAGGACAUGCUCUUGGUUAACGCUGAGACAUGGAGUCAUCGUGGUUACUUUGAAAAAAUUAGAGUGUUCAAAGCGGGCUUACGCUUGAAUAUAUUAGCAUGGAAUAACACUAUAGGACUCCUGUCCUAUCUCGUUGGUCUCGGGAUGGGAGUAAUGAUUAAGAGGAACAGUUGGGGGCAUUCGUAUUUCAUUGUCAGAGGUGAAAUUCUUGGAUUUAUGAAAGACGAACUUCUGCGAAAGCAUUUGCCAAGGAUGUUUUCAUUAAUCAAGAACGAAAGUUGGGGGCUCGAAGAUGAUUAGAUACCAUCCUAGUCUCAACCAUAAACGAUGCCGACUAGGGAUUGGUGGAUGUUAAUUGAUGACUUCACCAGCACCUUAUGAGAAAUCAAAGUUUUUGGGUUCCGGGGGGAGUAUGGUCGCAAGGCUGAAACUUAAAGGAAUUGAC